AGCGAACAUUGGCGGUAGGCUUAACACAUGCAAGUCGAGCGAGGCGUAAUAGUCGAGCGGCGAACGGGUGAGUAAUACCUGGAAAUCUACUCUGACGUGGGGAUAACGUCCAGAAAUGGACGCUAAUACCGAAUAAUCCAUAGUGGGAAAGCGUUGCAGCGCUUUAGGAUGAGUCCAUGGCUGAUUAGCUAGUUGGUGAGGUAAAGGCUCACCAAGGCGACGAUCAGUAGCUGGUCUGAGAGGAUGACCAGCCACACUGGAACUGGGACACGGUCCAGACUCCUACGGGAGGCAGCAGUGGGGAAUCUUGCGCAAUGGGGUCAACCCUGACGCAGCCAUACCGCGUGAGUGAUGAAGUUCUUCGGAUUGUAAAGCUCUUUCGGCGGGGACGACGAUGACGGUACCCGCAAAAGAAGUCACGGCUAACUUCGUGCCAGCCGCCGCCGUAA
RNAcentral lists this ribosomal RNA (449 nucleotides) under uncultured bacterium. RNAcentral describes it as "partial 16S ribosomal RNA". It matches the Rfam family "Bacterial small subunit ribosomal RNA", at positions 29 to 523 of the family's 1533-position model. The record is from RNAcentral.